CCCAACUAUCCCUAUUAAUCAUUACGGUGAUUCAGAAACCAACAAAACAGGACCACCGUCCUAUUUUAUUAUUCCAUGUUAAUGUAUUCAGACGUAAGCCUGCUUUGAACACUCUAAUUUUUUCAAGGUAAAGGUCCUGGUUUUCCACCACGCUAAAUUAAUAACAGGUUCCCAAGAAGGUAGAAAUUCCACACGCCAAUACAGACUAUUGCCCGACCAACGGUAGAACCCCAAAAUUCAAUUACGAGCUUUUUAACUGCAACAACUUUAAUAUACGCUAUUGGAGCUGGAAUUACCGCGGCUGCUGGCACCAGACUUGCCCUCCAA
RNAcentral lists this unclassified non-coding RNA (327 nucleotides) under uncultured Diversisporales. RNAcentral's name for it is "sequence contains 18S rRNA gene". The record is from RNAcentral. Lineage: Eukaryota; Fungi; Glomeromycota; Glomeromycetes; Diversisporales.